GUGGGGAAUUUUGGACAAUGGGCGCAAGCCUGAUCCAGCCAUUCCGCGUGCAGGAUGAAGGCCUUCGGGUUGUAAACUGCUUUUGUACGGAACGAAAAGCCUCUGGUUAAUACCCGGGGGUCAUGACGGUACCGUAAGAAUAAGCACCGGCUAACUACGUGCCAGCAGCCGCGGUAAUACGUAGGGUGCGAGCGUUAAUCGGAAUUACUGGGCGUAAAGCGUGCGCAGGCGGUUAUAUAAGACAGAUGUGAAAUCCCCGGGCUCAACCUGGGAACUGCAUUAGUGACUGUAUAGCUAGAGUGCGGCAGAGGGGGAUGGAAUUCCGCGUGUAGCAGUGAAAUGCGUAGAUAUGCGGAGGAACACCGAUGGCGAAGGCAAUCCCCUGGGCCUGCACUGACGCUCAUGCACGAAAGCGUGGGGAGCAAACAGGAUUAGAAACCCUGGUAGUCC
This 450-nucleotide ribosomal RNA is filed under the name uncultured bacterium. RNAcentral's name for it is "bacterial SSU rRNA". It matches the Rfam family "Bacterial small subunit ribosomal RNA", at positions 354 to 796 of the family's 1533-position model. The record is from RNAcentral.